ACAGCAGCAGCGCGGUAACACGAAGGGUGCAAGCGUUAAUCGGAAUUACUGGGCGUAAAGCGCACGUAGGCGGAUAUUUAAGUCAGGGGUGAAAUCCCAGAGCUCAACUCUGGAACUGCCUUUGAUACUGGGUAUCUUGAAUAUGGAAGAGGUGAGAGGAAUUCCGAGUGUAGAGGUGAAAUUCGUAGAUAUUCGGAGGAACACCAGUGGCGAAGGCGGCUCACUGGUCCAUUACUGACGCUGAGGUGCGAAAGCGUGGUGAGCAAACAGGAUUAGAUACCCCAGUAGUCCCUGUCUCUUAUACC
RNAcentral lists this ribosomal RNA (305 nucleotides) under uncultured bacterium. Its description in RNAcentral is "partial 16S ribosomal RNA". It matches the Rfam family "Bacterial small subunit ribosomal RNA", at positions 508 to 808 of the family's 1533-position model. The record is from RNAcentral.